RNAcentral lists this non-coding RNA (125 nucleotides) under Anneissia japonica. Lineage: Eukaryota; Metazoa; Echinodermata; Crinoidea; Comatulida; Comatulidae. The record is from RNAcentral.
GUGUUGUAAGAAAGGAGAGCAGGUUAGCACUCCCCUUGACAAGGACGGAAGACACCCUACGGUGUUUAACACAUAAAUGGUUAAGGCAUUGCCGCCUACUUUGCGGCAUCUAACCACGUUUUUUU